Small nuclear RNA from Protopterus annectens (West African lungfish), 130 nucleotides. RefSeq annotates it as U4 spliceosomal RNA. NCBI's taxonomy places the organism in Eukaryota, Metazoa, Chordata, Ceratodontiformes, Protopteridae. The record is from RefSeq and is a predicted model, not a curated record. The transcript has a single exon.
AGCUUUAUGCAGUGGCAGUAUCAUAGGCUAUGAAGAACUGCUGAGGUGUGAUUAUUGCUGACUGAAACCUAGAGACAAAUAAUUCUGCUACUUAGUGGCUCUGGGUUGCAGAAGGAUAAAUUCAUAAAUG